RNAcentral lists this ribosomal RNA (114 nucleotides) under Anolis carolinensis (green anole). Lineage: Eukaryota; Metazoa; Chordata; Lepidosauria; Squamata; Anolidae. The record is from RNAcentral.
CCAUAUGUCCUUAUUAAAGGCAUCAUAUCUCAUUUGAUCUUAGAAGCUAAAUACAAUUAGUUAUGGUUAGUACUUGGAUGGGAGACUGCCAAUGAAUACCAGGUGCUGUAGGGU